CGCGCAGGCGGUCGAGUAAGUCGAAUGUGAAAGCCCCCGGCUUAACUGGGGAGGGUCAUUCGAUACUGUUCGACUUGAAGGCAGGAGAGGGCAGCAGAAUUCCCGGUGUAGUGGUGAAAUGCGUAGAUAUCGGGAGGAAUACCAGUGGCGAAGGCGGCUGCCUGGCCUGUUCUUGACGCUGAGGCGCGAAAGCUGGGGAGCAAACG
This 206-nucleotide ribosomal RNA is filed under the name uncultured bacterium. RNAcentral describes it as "partial 16S ribosomal RNA". It matches the Rfam family "Bacterial small subunit ribosomal RNA", at positions 568 to 774 of the family's 1533-position model. The record is from RNAcentral.